ACAGACUCAGCCUGGCCAUAGAGUUAAGGUAAUUUAGAUUUAGUCUCCCACUAGGUGGCAGGCAUGGCUAAUCAAUGUGCGUCUUGCCUUGAAGAAGCCUCAUAAAGCAUGUGCGGUUAAGAGAAUGCACAUCAGGGGCAUGUAGUCUUGGAUCAAUUGUGAAAUCUUCGUUCCAUACCACCUGCAGCACAUGGGACAGUUCAGCAUGCGGCCGAGGAGGUUUGAUUAGUCUGCCAAACAUUAUGCGGAACUGAAUGCUGCUGGAUCCUCCUGAACAACUGAUGGCUUGUUUAUUGGAUGUUACACACUAUGACCACUGUUUCGCUGGUCCACGUUGACUAUGGUGCACAGGAAAUAAAGUAUAAAUGCUCUUUCCUCGCUGACCAAUGCUUCACUUUUUUUUCUUUCAAAGGGAAAAAUCUACCCUUCCCUGGGAACGUCUGUAGUUUUCCACAUAUAGGGAAAAUUACUUUUUUUCAUUUUUUAUUGAUCAUAGACUUCUGUAUCUGGAUUAAAAA
This is a long non-coding RNA of Carassius carassius (crucian carp), 518 nucleotides long. RefSeq lists it as uncharacterized. NCBI's taxonomy places the organism in Eukaryota, Metazoa, Chordata, Actinopteri, Cypriniformes, Cyprinidae. The record is from RefSeq and is a predicted model, not a curated record. The transcript has 3 exons.